Molecule: ribosomal RNA, 495 nt
Filed under: uncultured bacterium
Lineage: Bacteria
Description: partial 16S ribosomal RNA
Rfam family: Bacterial small subunit ribosomal RNA
Source: RNAcentral
GAUGAACGCUAGCGGGAGGCCUAACACAUGCAAGCCGAGCGGUAUUUCUUCUUCGGGAGAGAGAGAGCGGCGUACGGGUGCGGAACACGUGUGCAACCUGCCUUUAUCUAGAGGAUAGCCUUUCGAAAGGAAGAUUAAUACUCUAUAAUAUAUUAAUUGGCAUCAAUUGAUAUUGAAAACUCCGGUGGAUAGAGAUGGGCACGCGCAAGAUUAGCUAGUUGGUGAGGUAACGGCUCACCAAGGCAAUGAUCUUUAGGGGGCCUGAGAGGGUGAUCCCCCACACUGGUACUGAGACACGGACCAGACUCCUACGGGAGGCAGCAGUGAGGAAUAUUGGUCAAUGGGUGCAAGCCUGAACCAGCCAUCCCGCGUGAAGGAUUAAGGUCCUAUGGAUUGUAAACUUCUUUUGUAUAGGGAUAAACCUACCCUCGUGAGGGUAGCUGAAGGUACUAUACGAAUAAGCACCGGCUAACUCCGUGCCAGCAGCCGCAGUAA